CUUGAACGUUCGUUGCAAUCGAUGUUUAGCGUUGUAUUCUGAGUUUGUGCAAAUAAUAGUACAUUGUGUUCAGGUGCAACAGUCGGGAAAAAUAAGUAAUUUCUGCGAACAUCUUUCCAAUUAAAAAGAAUUGCGUUACCAUCAUCAAACACUCGCUUGACAUCAAAUGUGCUUGCUGACGGAGGUACAGCUUAUGACAUACUCUACCAAGAUUUAGAGGUUAUUUCAAAAACCAAAUGGUGGUCCGGAUUUUAAAAAUGUCACAUCGCCAAUAUUAUUCACCGAGUGAUCAAGUAACCUACAACGACUUGAAUUGGAACAAAAUUUCAUGCACGAGUUUUCACGCAGGAGUAUUAGGUAACCGAUCAUCACAUUAUACUUCUGCAGAACACACGGUCAGUAUAAAUUGGGAACCAUUUUGCUAUAGAUCACCCAAUACCCGAUUAAAAAAGUUGAUAAGGUUGUCAUACAUAAAAUAUUUAUGUAUUAUUAAUAAUAUACUAUGAAUACAAG
Molecule: long non-coding RNA, 513 nt
Organism: Myzus persicae (green peach aphid)
Lineage: Eukaryota; Metazoa; Arthropoda; Insecta; Hemiptera; Aphididae
Exons: 3
Source: RefSeq, a predicted model, not a curated record